GUGUCACAUUUAAAAUAAUGACACCAUUGAACUUAAAAUUUAUAAAGGUGACACAUCAUAUAAAAAAUCUUCAAUUAGGAUAGUUAGAUGAUGCUAAUUUCAGAUUUACGGUGUCAUUUUUUGGAAGUGACACCACAUGAAAUAAAAAGUUUUAAAUUUUAUAACUCAAUGGGCCCUUUUUAAAAAUAGUGAGUAGGAACAAUUUAUGAAAAGUCCAUUGUUUCCAUAUAUACAUUAACUAAUAUAAAAGAUCUUAUUUCUUAACCCUAACCAUCGUUUUCUUCUCCUUCUUCUCACACCCAUGGUCGGCACACCCAUAAUUGAUAUUCUUUGCUUCGUAAAAUCUCGGGUAUACACUCUUGGGAGGACAAUAUGAAGAAUAAAAAGAAAGGAGAAAGAGGCAACAAGAUUUAGGUUUUUAGAUAUGACUCUUAUGUCAUACAUUAUAGGACAUAAAUGUUACUUUAUUUGGAAUUGAGAAUUUUGGGUUUUUGGAUGCAA
Vitis vinifera (wine grape) is the source of this 501-nucleotide long non-coding RNA. RefSeq lists it as uncharacterized. NCBI's taxonomy places the organism in Eukaryota, Viridiplantae, Streptophyta, Magnoliopsida, Vitales, Vitaceae. The record is from RefSeq and is a predicted model, not a curated record. The transcript has 2 exons.